AGACCCCUUUCCUCUACCCAGAGGAGAAUUGUCGGUUGUGCACGGUAGUGCACUCUGAUUAAAAGCAGUAGGUUUAUGUGGUCAGGCUAGUGGCCUGGGACAUUGUGUGCUAGAGACACGGUUCAUCCGACAGUCUUCCUCACAGUGCGUCCCGGGUCUUACAAGCUGGUCAGGCCAUGGCCUCUUCAGUACUCACGUACAACCCCAAAC
This 210-nucleotide unclassified non-coding RNA is filed under the name uncultured Rozellomycota. RNAcentral describes it as "uncultured Cryptomycota sequence contains ITS2". Lineage: Eukaryota; Fungi; Rozellomycota. The record is from RNAcentral.